CUGGUAGGACCUAUGUCAAAUCCGACGUGGAAUUCGUGACGGGCUAUUACCGGUGGAACUUACGUCCAAGUUGUGGUGAAACAACAGUGACAGGCGACGGGGGAGGAGCACCGGGACCUUUACCUGUGGAAUCCACGUCAGGUCCGACGAGGAAAGGUGACUAGGUAUGGCUUGAGGAGUUGUAACUGGCGCUAACCCCCGUGGAAACA
This 209-nucleotide long non-coding RNA is filed under the name Physcomitrium patens. RNAcentral's name for it is "long non-coding RNA (PPAT_LNC006885)". The record is from RNAcentral. Lineage: Eukaryota; Viridiplantae; Streptophyta; Bryopsida; Funariales; Funariaceae.